RNAcentral lists this ribosomal RNA (527 nucleotides) under uncultured bacterium. RNAcentral's name for it is "bacterial SSU rRNA". It matches the Rfam family "Bacterial small subunit ribosomal RNA", at positions 28 to 560 of the family's 1533-position model. The record is from RNAcentral.
GACGAACGCUGGCGGCGUGCUUAACACAUGCAAGUCGAACGAGGUGCCUCCUGACCUUCGGGUCGGGGGGUUUCCGUAGUGGCGAACGGGUGAGUAGCACGUGAGCAACCUGCCCCGAUCUCUGGGAUAACACCGGGAGACCGGUGCUAAUACCGGAUGUCCUUGCCGUCUCGCAUGUGACGGUGUGGAAAGCCUUCGGGUGGUUCGGGUGGGGCUCGCGGCCUAUCAGCUUGUUGGUGGGGUAACGGCCUACCAAGGCGUCGACGGGUAGCUGGUCUGAGAGGACGAUCAGCCACACUGGGACUGAGACACGGCCCAGACUCCUACGGGAGGCAGCAGUGGGGAAUCUUGCGCAAUGGGCGAAAGCCUGACGCAGCAACGCCGCGUGGGGGAUGAAGGCUCUCGGGUUGUAAACCCCUUUCGCCAGGGACGAAAUUGACGGUACCUGGAGAAGAAGCCCCGGCCAACUACGUGCCAGCAGCCGCGGUAAUACGUAGGGGGCGAGCGUUGUCCGGAUUCAUUGGACG